GUUGAACAAGACCAGUGCCUGAAGUGCAAAAUGAGAGGGCACUACAAGAGGGACUGCCCAGAAUUCCUGAAAGAGUUGUUAAGAAAGGGGAUCAAGUAUGAGGAGGACCCUGCCAAGAGGCGCAAGAAGAAUUAAAGUUGCAAACGGUGUAGAAGCUGAAGUCGAAGCCAUUGCAGAAUUUUAUUUAGAAUUACAUAAUGGCUUUGUACUUUGUUUGAGAGAUGUUCUUUAUGUACCGUCUUUGCAAUGAAACUUAAUAAGUGUGUCUAAAUUAGAUGAUGACGCUAUUGCUUGUCAUUUUGGUGAUGGCAAGUGUAAGAUACAAGUUAAUUCAGAAUGUGUUGGUCUUGCCUUCCGACAAGACAAAUUAUAUUUGCUUUCAUUA
Long non-coding RNA from Panicum virgatum (switchgrass), 385 nucleotides. RefSeq lists it as uncharacterized. The transcript has 2 exons. The record is from RefSeq and is a predicted model, not a curated record. Lineage: Eukaryota; Viridiplantae; Streptophyta; Magnoliopsida; Poales; Poaceae.